This 506-nucleotide ribosomal RNA is filed under the name uncultured bacterium. RNAcentral's name for it is "partial 16S ribosomal RNA". It matches the Rfam family "Bacterial small subunit ribosomal RNA", at positions 30 to 523 of the family's 1533-position model. The record is from RNAcentral.
AUUGAACGCCGGCGGCAGGCCUAACACAUGCAAGUCGGGCGGUAGCACAGGAGAGCUUGCUCUCCGGGUGACGAGCGGCGGACGGGUGAGUAAUGUCUGGGAAACUGCCUGAUGGAGGGGGAUAACUACUGGAAACGGUAGCUAAUACCGCAUAACGUCGCAAGACCAAAGAGGGGGACCUUCGGGCCUCUUGCCAUCGGAUGUGCCCAGAUGGGAUUAGCUAGUAGGUGAGGUAAAGGCUCACCUAGGCGACGAUCCCUAGCUGGUCUGAGAGGAUGACCAGCCACACUGGAACUGAGACACGGUCCAGACUCCUACGGGAGGCAGCGGUGGGGAAUAUUGCACAAUGGGCGCAAGCCUGAUGCAGCCAUGCCGCGUGUAUGAAGAAGGCCUUCGGGUUGUAAAGUACUUUCAGCGGGGAGGAAGGUGUUGUGGUUAAUAACCACAGCAAUUGACGUUACCCGCAGAAGAAGCACCGGCUAACUCCGUGCCAGCCGCCGCAGUAA